Molecule: long non-coding RNA, 1491 nt
Filed under: Ictidomys tridecemlineatus (thirteen-lined ground squirrel)
Lineage: Eukaryota; Metazoa; Chordata; Mammalia; Rodentia; Sciuridae
Description: lncRNA (ENSSTOG00000033085.1)
Source: RNAcentral
AAUUACGCUGUUAAUGUUUUAAUCUCUGUCUGCUUUGAAAGACCCCAGCCCAACAACCUCAGGCCUAGUUGCAAAACUACCGAGGCAUGUUGCAAACUUACGCAGGCACCAGGUGUGUUUUUCAGACAAUCAGUUAGGUGUAACCGGUUGAGAAAGCACAGAGGACCAGGGCCCAGGGCACGCCUGAAUAGGCAGGAACAGGAGGACCAGAGUGCUAAUAACGUGUAGCUUUUAUGUAGCUUUUCCUGUAACAUAAAGUGGAAAACAACUUUACCCUUUAGGUAACCUAUAUGCUGGGUUUAAAAUUAACUAAUAAGAAACCUAUUGCUUACGGUGCGCAACUGCCCCUUUACCCUAUAAAUAUCUCUGUACCCCCAAGCCCGGUGUGCCAGCUCACCAAAGCUCUGGCUGAGGUUCUGCUGGGCACCCGCAGGCGCCUGUGUCUCAAUAAACAAACCUCUUGCUUUUACAGCCAGUGUUUCGUGUGAUUCUCCUUGGACAGGGAAACGGGGGUUUUUCAUUUGGAGGUUCCACCGAGAUUGCCCCUCCCCCACCCUGUCCGGAUCCCUGCCCGAGGACCACCCAGCAUCACUGGGAGGAUUCAUUUGCACUCAACACAGCCAUUUUCCUGUAUGCGGUGGGAAGCCCGCCAGUCUCCCUUGGCUUCCACUGUGCAGUCAUCCAUUGAGGAGGCUACAUAUGGCCCUGAGGAUGAGAAGCAUCAACAUGGACAAGGUUCCUCAGAGAGAAAACCAGGCCAAACUUGAAGAUCAUUAAUGACUUGUGGAGUAGAUUUUUUUUUUCCUGGAGGAACAUAAUGAUUUUGUAUUUUAGACCUAGUAUAACCUAUGAAAGAGAAGUAGUAAUCACACAUGAACAUCUGGGUUAUAAAUUAAUGAUGUAAAAAUAAUAGAAAGUAAAAAGGCAUGUGUACUUUACACCAUGUGCUAAGAAUCUAAUAAUAUUUAUGAUGAAGACAUAUAAGUACAAUAAAAUCUGUGGAAGGGAUCAUGAAAAUAGGUUUAAAAUAAGGAUAGAAUGUUAAUAUAAUCAUGAUGAGGUUCUGGUCAGCAGGAUGUCAGUAGAGGUAGUGUGUGCAACUUUAAGGGUAUGUGUAUAUGGGAGUUAUCUGUGUCCUUCUCCUUCCUUUUCUUAUUCUUUCUGGUUUGGAUGAUGAUGCAAAGCCUGGAGAUGACACACCUAUCUUGGACCAUGAGAUGGAAUCUGCCUGUUGAAGAUGGUGAACAACAAGGUAGAAAGAACCUGGGUUCCUGAUGACUAUGCAGCCUGCUGACCAUUACCUGAAUGACUUGUGUCUACAUUUAUGUGUGAGAGAUAAAACUUUGAUCUUGUUCAAGCCACUGUUAUUUUGGAAAUUUGGUCAAAACUUGGAAUAAAUAAUUGCAAUAAGGUGUUUCCUAUUCUAAUAAUUUCUCAAUCACAAUGUAUUGUGUUAACCACACACAAGUGAGGAUGAUGAUAUUUAAAAAU